UUACGGCCAUAACAGGUUGAGACACCGGUUCCCGUACGAUCAGCAGAGUUAAGUAACCACGAACCUAGUCAGUACCAAGAUGGGUGACCGCUUCGAAAUACCAGGUGGUGUAAG
This is a non-coding RNA of Acanthosepion pharaonis, 114 nucleotides long. The record is from the annotation of a GenBank genome assembly. NCBI's taxonomy places the organism in Eukaryota, Metazoa, Mollusca, Cephalopoda, Sepiida, Sepiidae.